GCAGUGGUAAAUCCAAGUUUAGAUAACUACACCCUCACCAUCUACCCACAAAUAGCCAACACAAGACUAAAUCUGCCAAAUCCGACAACGCUACGCCAAGCAACCGGCGACAUACAAGUAGCGGUACCCCUAUAACCUCCCUGAAGAAGGCCCAAACCAAGGGCCGAAACGUCGGAUGUAAUAGAAUCACCCCGCUCAUAAUUUUCCGGACCGAAAAGCCAAUUGUAGAGGG
Long non-coding RNA from Aedes albopictus (Asian tiger mosquito), 232 nucleotides. RefSeq lists it as uncharacterized. The record is from RefSeq and is a predicted model, not a curated record. The transcript is spliced from 3 exons. NCBI's taxonomy places the organism in Eukaryota, Metazoa, Arthropoda, Insecta, Diptera, Culicidae.